AUUGAACGCUGGCGGCAGGCCUAACACAUGCAAGUCGAACGGUAACAGGAAGAAGCUUGCUUCUUUGCUGACGAGUGGCGGACGGGUGAGUAAUGUCCGGGAAACUGCCUGAUGGAGGGGGAUAACUACUGGAAACGGUAACUCAUACCGCAUAACGUCGCAAGACCAAAGAGGGGGACCUUCGGGCCUCUUGCCAUCGGGUGUGCCCAGAUGGGAUUAGCUAGUAGGUGGGGUAACGGCUCACCUAGGCGACGAUCCCUAGCUGGUCUGAGAGGAUGACCAGCCACACUGGAACUGAGACACGGUCCAGACUCCUACGGGAGGCAGCAGUGGGGAAUAUUGCACAAUGGGCGCAAGCCUGAUGCAGCCAUGCCGCGUGUAUGAAGAAGGCCUUCGGGUUGUAAAGUACUUUCGGCGGGGAGGAAGGGAGUAAAGUUAAUACCUUUGCUCAUUGACGUUACCCGCAGAAGAAGCACCGGCUAACUCCGUG
Molecule: ribosomal RNA, 490 nt
Filed under: uncultured bacterium
Lineage: Bacteria
Description: partial 16S ribosomal RNA
Rfam family: Bacterial small subunit ribosomal RNA
Source: RNAcentral